AUCCUUCCAUCCCCACCCCAGGUCCAGCAGAGGCGAUGGCUGCGGCUUCCCAGUGCUCAGCACAAACUUGGCCUCAAGUUUCCUGGAAAUGACUUUAGCAGCUUUUGUGGCCCUGGCCUGGUGGCCUUGGGAGCAGCGUCCCUGAGUGGCAGUCACUUCUCAGUCAGGCAGAGGCUUCUGGCCCUGGAGCAUCCACUGGUUGGGGCACAGACAGAACAGAAGACAGUGGAUUAGCAGCGGGGCCUCCUGAGGCUGCUGGGGAGAACUCUGCCCCCUGCUCUGUGGCACCCGGCAAGUCCCUGUAACCUUGACAACAGGCGCAUCCUCCCAGGCCACCAACCCAGCCAUAGGCUCUUCUCUGUCCGCAGGGCUUCUGGGGCCAAAUGGGUGAAUCUUUGCUUUCAACAUUGUGUAAUUUCUUUCUUUUCUUUUUUUUUUUUUUUUAGAUAAGUAUAAGUUACUUUUGUAAGCAGAAAAAUACUUUCAAACAAGAAUAAAAGAAGCUGUUCGCUAGACCCCAUAA
Molecule: small RNA, 523 nt
Filed under: Pan troglodytes (chimpanzee)
Lineage: Eukaryota; Metazoa; Chordata; Mammalia; Primates; Hominidae
Description: processed transcript
Source: RNAcentral